Molecule: ribosomal RNA, 1504 nt
Filed under: Riemerella anatipestifer ATCC 11845 = DSM 15868
Lineage: Bacteria; Pseudomonadati; Bacteroidota; Flavobacteriia; Flavobacteriales; Weeksellaceae
Description: 16S ribosomal RNA
Rfam family: Bacterial small subunit ribosomal RNA
Source: RNAcentral
UUGAACGCUAGCGGGAGGCCUAACACAUGCAAGCCGAGCGGUAGAGUGUCUUCGGAUACUUGAGAGCGGCGUACGGGUGCGGAACACGUGUGCAACCUGCCUUUAUCUGAGGGAUAGCCUUUCGAAAGGAAGAUUAAUACCUCAUAAUAUACUGAUUGGCAUCAAUUAGUAUUGAAAGCUCCGGCGGAUAGAGAUGGGCACGCGCAAGAUUAGAUAGUUGGUGAGGUAACGGCUCACCAAGUCAAUGAUCUUUAGGGGGCCUGAGAGGGUGAUCCCCCACACUGGUACUGAGACACGGACCAGACUCCUACGGGAGGCAGCAGUGAGGAAUAUUGGACAAUGGGUGCAAGCCUGAUCCAGCCAUCCCGCGUGAAGGACGACGGCCCUAUGGGUUGUAAACUUCUUUUGUACAGGGAUAAACCUACUCUCGUGAGGGUAGCUGAAGGUACUGUACGAAUAAGCACCGGCUAACUCCGUGCCAGCAGCCGCGGUAAUACGGAGGGUGCAAGCGUUAUCCGGAUUUAUUGGGUUUAAAGGGUCCGCAGGCGGGCUAGUAAGUCAGUGGUGAAAGCCUACAGCUUAACUGUAGAACUGCCGUUGAUACUGCUAGUCUUGAGUAUAGUUGAGGUAGCUGGAAUGAGUAGUGUAGCGGUGAAAUGCAUAGAUAUUACUCAGAACACCGAUUGCGAAGGCAGGUUACUAGGUUAUAACUGACGCUGAGGGACGAAAGCGUGGGGAGCAAACAGGAUUAGAUACCCUGGUAGUCCACGCCGUAAACGAUGUCUACUAGCCGUUGGGGCCUUUGAGGCUUUAGUGGCGCAGCUAACGCGAUAAGUAGACCGCCUGGGGAGUACGGCCGCAAGACUAAUACUCAAAUGAAUUGGCGGGGGCCCGCACAAGCGGUGGAGCAUGUGGUUUAAUUCGAUGCAACGCGAAGAACCUUACCUGGUCUUGACAUAGUAAGAACUUUCCAGAGAUGGAUUGGUGCCUUCGGGAACUUACAUACAGGUGCUGCAUGGCUGUCGUCAGCUCGUGCCGUGAGAUGUUGGGUUAAGUCCCGCAACGAGCGCAACCCUUUUCCUUAUUUGCCAGCGGGUAAGUUGGGGACUCUAGUGAGACUGCCUACGCAAGUAGAGAGGAAGGUGGGGAUGACGUCAAAUCAUCACGGCCCUUACGCCUUGGGCCACACACGUGAUACAAUGGCCGGUACAGAGGGCAGCUACACUGCGAAGUGAUGCAAAUCUCGAAAGCCGGUCUCAGUUCGGAUUGGAGUCUGCAACUCGACUCUAUGAAGCUGGAAUCGCUAGUAAUCGCGCAUCAGCCAUGCCGCGGUGAAUACGUUCCCGGGCCUUGUACACACCGCCCGUCACACCAUGGGAGUGUGUUGCACCAGAAGUAGGUAGUCUAACCGCAAGGAGGACGCUUACCACGGUGUGACAGAUGACUGGGGUGAAGUCGUAACAAGGUAGCCGUAGGGGAACCUGCGGUUGGAUCACCUCCCUUA